Molecule: non-coding RNA, 71 nt
Organism: Paramuricea clavata
Lineage: Eukaryota; Metazoa; Cnidaria; Anthozoa; Malacalcyonacea; Plexauridae
Source: the annotation of a GenBank genome assembly
GACUCGACAGCUCAAUGGGUAGAGCGGCGGUCUAGAUACCCGAAGAUGCGAGUUCAAAUCCCGCUCGAGCG